RNAcentral lists this ribosomal RNA (270 nucleotides) under uncultured prokaryote. Its description in RNAcentral is "partial 16S ribosomal RNA". It matches the Rfam family "Archaeal small subunit ribosomal RNA", at positions 474 to 743 of the family's 1478-position model. The record is from RNAcentral.
UACUAGCGGUCCAAGUCGCAGCCAUUUUUAUUGGGUCUAAAACAUCCGUAGCUUGCUUGAUAAGUUUCUUGUGAAAUUCUAUGUCUCAAACAUAGACCGUGCAAGAAGUACUGUCAAGCUAGAGACUGGUAGACGUAAGAAGUACGUUCGGAGUAGCGGUAAAAUGUGUUAAUCCCGAACGGACUCACGAUAGCGAAGGCAUCUUACGAGGACAGAUCUGACAGUAAGGGAUGAAGGCUAGGGGCGCAAAACGGAUUAGAUACCCUCGUA